CCUGGUGGCUCAGAGGUUAAAGCGUCUGCCCGCAAUGCAGGAGACCAGGGUUCUAUCCCUGUGUCGGGA
RNAcentral lists this transfer RNA (69 nucleotides) under Bos taurus (domestic cattle). It matches the Rfam family "tRNA". Rfam says of the family: Transfer RNA (tRNA) molecules are approximately 80 nucleotides in length. Their secondary structure includes four short double-helical elements and three loops (D, anti-codon, and T loops). The record is from Rfam by way of RNAcentral. RNAcentral also lists the same sequence under 1 other name. Lineage: Eukaryota; Metazoa; Chordata; Mammalia; Artiodactyla; Bovidae.